UACGUAGGGUGCAAGCGUUGUCCGGAAUUAUUGGGCGUAAAGAGCUCGUAGGCGGUUUGUCGCGUCUGCUGUGAAAACCCGAGGCUCAACCUCGGGCCUGCAGUGGGUACGGGCAGACUAGAGUGCGGUAGGGGAGAUUGGAAUUCCUGGUGUAGCGGUGGAAUGCGCAGAUAUCAGGAGGAACACCAAUAGCGAAGGCAGCUCGCUGGGCCGUAACUGACGCUGAGGCGCGAAAGCAUGGGGAGCGAACAGG
RNAcentral lists this ribosomal RNA (253 nucleotides) under uncultured bacterium. Its description in RNAcentral is "partial 16S ribosomal RNA". It matches the Rfam family "Bacterial small subunit ribosomal RNA", at positions 524 to 776 of the family's 1533-position model. The record is from RNAcentral.